GAUGAAGAACGUAGUGAAAUGCGAUAAGUAAUGUGAAUUGCAGAAUUCAGUGAAUCAUCGAAUCUUUGAACGCACAUUGCGCCCGCCAGUAUUCUGGCGGGCAUGCCUGUUCGAGCGUCAUUGCUGCCCUCAAGCACGGCUUGUGUGUUGGGCCUCCGUCCUCCUCCCGGGGGACGGGCCCGAAAGGCAGCGGCGGCACCGCGUCCGGUCCUCGAGCGUAUGGGGCUUCGUCACCCGCUCUUGUAGGCCCGGCCGGCGCUUGCCGACACAUCAAUCUUUUUUCCAGGUUGACCUCGGAUCAGGUAGGGAUACCCGCUGAACUUAAGCAUAUCAAUAAGCGGAGGA
RNAcentral lists this unclassified non-coding RNA (345 nucleotides) under soil metagenome. Its description in RNAcentral is "partial contains 5.8S ribosomal RNA, internal transcribed spacer 2, and large subunit ribosomal RNA". The stretch from base 1 to 120 matches the Rfam family "5.8S ribosomal RNA", at positions 35 to 154 of the family's 154-position model. The record is from RNAcentral.